ACGGCCGCGGUAUCAUAACCGUGCGAAGGUAGCAUAAUAAAUUGUUCUCUAAAUAGGGACUAGUAUGAAAGGCACCACGAGGGCUUAACUGUCUCCCUUUUCCAAUUAAUGAAACUGAUCUUCUCGUGAAGAAGCGAGAAUAAAAAUAUAAGACGAGAAGACCCCAUGGAGCUUUAAACUCAUCAUCAUUUACUUUUUUCACAUCAUCACAUAUAGUAAAAAUGUUAACUGAUAGUUUUCGGCUGGGGUGACCCUGGAGAAAAACAAAUCCUCCAGGAUGAACGGAAUAAUAAUCCUAAUCAAAGAGUCACAACUCUAAAAAUCAAAACAUUGACAUCAUUUGAUCCAAUUACUUGAUCAACGAACCAAGUUACCCUGGGGAUAACAGCGCAAUCCAUUUCAAGAGCCCCUAUCGACAAAUGGGUUUACGACCUCGAUGUUGGAUCGGGGUAUCCCAGUGGCGCAGCCGCUACUAAAGGUUCGUUUGU
This 488-nucleotide ribosomal RNA is filed under the name Heterixalus madagascariensis (Madagascar reed frog). RNAcentral describes it as "partial 16S ribosomal RNA". It matches the Rfam family "Bacterial large subunit ribosomal RNA", at positions 1927 to 2580 of the family's 2925-position model. The record is from RNAcentral. Lineage: Eukaryota; Metazoa; Chordata; Amphibia; Anura; Hyperoliidae.